Molecule: ribosomal RNA, 468 nt
Filed under: uncultured bacterium
Lineage: Bacteria
Description: partial 16S ribosomal RNA
Rfam family: Bacterial small subunit ribosomal RNA
Source: RNAcentral
GACGAACGCUGGCGGCGUGCUUAACACAUGCAAGUCGAACGGAAAGACCCUGCUUGCUUCUGGUGCUCGAGCGGCGAACGGGUGAAUAACAUGUGAAUAACCUGCCCUUGACUUGGUGAUAACUUCAGAAAACUGGUGCUAAUACCGGAUAGGUGCUCCUGCUGCAGGGUGGGGGUUGGAAAGUUUGGGCGGUUGGGGAUGUAUUCGGGGCUUAUCAGCUUGUUGGUGGGGUAGUGGCUUACCAAGGCUUUGAUGGGUAGCCGGCCUGAGAGGGUGACCGGCCACAUGGGGACUGAGAGAGGGAGCAGAGGCGUAUGGGAGGCAGCAGGGGGGAAUCUUGUCCAAUGGGGGGAAGCGUGAUGAAGCAACGCCGCGUGCGGGAUGACGGCCUUCGGGUUGUAAACCGCAUUAGCCUGUGACGAAGCGUGAGUGACGGUAAUGGGUGAAGAAGCACCGGCUAACUACGUG